RNAcentral lists this ribosomal RNA (554 nucleotides) under uncultured Gammaproteobacteria bacterium. Its description in RNAcentral is "bacterial SSU rRNA". It matches the Rfam family "Bacterial small subunit ribosomal RNA", at positions 493 to 1045 of the family's 1533-position model. The record is from RNAcentral. Lineage: Bacteria; Pseudomonadati; Pseudomonadota; Gammaproteobacteria.
CCGGCUAACUCUGUGCCAGCAGCCGCGGUAAUACAGAGGGUGCGAGCGUUAAUCGGAAUUACUGGGCGUAAAGGGCGCGUAGGCGGUUAUUUAAGUUAGAUGUGAAAUCCCUGGGCUUAACCUAGGAACUGCAUCUAAAACUGGAUAGCUAGAGUGCAGUAGAGGGUAGUGGAAUUUCCGGUGUAGCGGUGAAAUGCGUAGAUAUCGGAAGGAACACCAGUGGCGAAGGCGGCUACCUGGACUGACACUGACGCUGAGGCGCGAGAGCGUGGGGAGCAAACAGGAUUAGAUANCCCUGGUAGUCCACGCUGUAAACGAUGAGAACUAGAUGUUGGUAGGCUUGACCUAUUAGUAUCGAAGCUAACGCGAUAAGUUCUCCGCCUGGGGAGUACGGCCGCAUGGUUAAAACUCAAAGGAAUUGACGGGGGCCCGCACAAGCGGUGGAGCAUGUGGUUUAAUUCGAUGCAACGCGAAGAACCUUACCUACCCUUGACAUCCUAAGAAUUUUGUAGAGAUAUAGAAGUGCCGAAAGGAGCUUAGAGACAGGUGCUGCA